Molecule: long non-coding RNA, 536 nt
Filed under: Nicotiana benthamiana
Lineage: Eukaryota; Viridiplantae; Streptophyta; Magnoliopsida; Solanales; Solanaceae
Description: long non-coding RNA (NBEN_LNC017932)
Source: RNAcentral
AGAUAGAGAGGUGGAUCAUCUCAAACAGGGUCACGUUCAUGUUCUGCUUGUGGCCGCACUCAUCGUGGCGAGUGUUGGGGUACAUCUCAAAGUUGCUACACUUGCAGAGAGGUUGGUCACAUUACGAGGUUUUGCCCUCGAGAUAGUGGUACUGGUCAGACAGGCACGCUUCUAGACCUACUCAGAUAGCACUUCAGGUUACUUCCGAGGCACCCCCAGCCCAGCAGGGCCAACAGCAGACUCAGAGAUAGAGAGAUAGAUCAUCUCAGACAGGGUCACGUUCAUGUUCUACUUGUGGCCGCACUCAUCGUGGCGAGUGUUGGGGUACAUCUCAAAGUUGCUACACUUGCAGAGAGGUUGGUCACAUUACGAGGUUUUGCCCUCGAGAUAGUGGUACUGGUCAGACAGGCACGCAGCAGCAGGGUACUAUGGUUACCGCACCUCCUCCAGCAUAGCCAGUUAGAGCUGUUCCUCAUGGUACUCAGGGUCGUGGACGUCCAGGUCGGCUUUGUUAAAGUAUAUAUACACAUAUACUU